UUUGAUGGAGGCAUAGGUAAACCUGG
This 26-nucleotide non-coding RNA is filed under the name Mus musculus (house mouse). RNAcentral also lists the same sequence under 1 other name. Lineage: Eukaryota; Metazoa; Chordata; Mammalia; Rodentia; Muridae. The record is from RNAcentral.